UUCAUCAUAACAGAUCAUAAAGAAAACAUGACUUUAAUAGCCUUCAUUGUUUGGACACUUGCAACUUGUACCUUGACUUCAGUGGGGCAGAUUGUGACUCAGUCUGAAGAUCAAACAGUGAAGCCUGAUCAGACGGUCACUAUUCGCUGUAAUCAUAAACCAGCUGUGAACCGUUAUAAAACAGGUACCUCUCAGUAUUGCAUGGCCUGGUACCAUCAGAUUCCUGGAGAAGCUCCUAAACUCCUGAUCUAUUACACAUCAGACAGAGCUUCAGGUGUUUCUUCUAGAUUCAGUGGCAGUGAAAGUGGAAACCACAUGGAUUUUAUUCUGACCAUCAGUGGAGUCCAGCCUGAAAAUUCAGGAAUUUAUUACUGUCAGAGUGAGCACGAUAUACCAGAUGACUCAGGGAAGCUAUACCGGGUGUUCACACAGUGUAAAAGCAUUGCACAAAAACCUCCUUGUGUGAGACUGCAGCGCUGCAGCUUUAAGCUUCUACACAUGUUGAUGUUGAAGAUCGUUAUUCACCUCACUGACUUUACACACAAACACAGAGACUCUUUUUGA
This is a non-coding RNA of Labeo rohita (rohu), 564 nucleotides long. NCBI's taxonomy places the organism in Eukaryota, Metazoa, Chordata, Actinopteri, Cypriniformes, Cyprinidae. The record is from the annotation of a RefSeq genome assembly.